Molecule: ribosomal RNA, 2891 nt
Filed under: Pseudomonas fluorescens
Lineage: Bacteria; Pseudomonadati; Pseudomonadota; Gammaproteobacteria; Pseudomonadales; Pseudomonadaceae
Also listed under: 7 other names
Description: 23S ribosomal RNA
Rfam family: Bacterial large subunit ribosomal RNA
Source: RNAcentral
GGUCAAGUGAAGAAGCGCAUACGGUGGAUGCCUUGGCAGUCAGAGGCGAUGAAAGACGUGGUAGCCUGCGAAAAGCUUCGGGGAGUCGGCAAACAGACUUUGAUCCGGAGAUGUCUGAAUGGGGGAACCCAGCCAUCAUAAGAUGGUUAUCUUGUACUGAAUACAUAGGUGCAAGAGGCGAACCAGGGGAACUGAAACAUCUAAGUACCCUGAGGAAAAGAAAUCAACCGAGAUUCCCUUAGUAGUGGCGAGCGAACGGGGACUAGCCCUUAAGUGGCUUUGAGAUUAGCGGAACGCUCUGGAAAGUGCGGCCAUAGUGGGUGAUAGCCCUGUACGCGAAAAUCUCUUAGUCAUGAAAUCGAGUAGGACGGAGCACGAGAAACUUUGUCUGAAUAUGGGGGGACCAUCCUCCAAGGCUAAAUACUACUGACUGACCGAUAGUGAACUAGUACCGUGAGGGAAAGGCGAAAAGAACCCCGGAGAGGGGAGUGAAAUAGAUCCUGAAACCGUAUGCGUACAAGCAGUGGGAGCAGACUUUGUUCUGUGACUGCGUACCUUUUGUAUAAUGGGUCAGCGACUUAUUUUCAGUGGCGAGCUUAACCGAAUAGGGGAGGCGUAGCGAAAGCGAGUCUUAAUAGGGCGUCUAGUCGCUGGGAAUAGACCCGAAACCGGGCGAUCUAUCCAUGGGCAGGUUGAAGGUUAGGUAACACUGACUGGAGGACCGAACCGACUACCGUUGAAAAGUUAGCGGAUGACCUGUGGAUCGGAGUGAAAGGCUAAUCAAGCUCGGAGAUAGCUGGUUCUCCUCGAAAGCUAUUUAGGUAGCGCCUCAUGUAUCACUGUAGGGGGUAGAGCACUGUUUCGGCUAGGGGGUCAUCCCGACUUACCAAACCGAUGCAAACUCCGAAUACCUACAAGUGCCGAGCAUGGGAGACACACGGCGGGUGCUAACGUCCGUCGUGAAAAGGGAAACAACCCAGACCGUCAGCUAAGGUCCCAAAGUUAUGGUUAAGUGGGAAACGAUGUGGGAAGGCUUAGACAGCUAGGAGGUUGGCUUAGAAGCAGCCACCCUUUAAAGAAAGCGUAAUAGCUCACUAGUCGAGUCGGCCUGCGCGGAAGAUGUAACGGGGCUCAAACCAUACACCGAAGCUACGGGUAUCACGUAAGUGAUGCGGUAGAGGAGCGUUCUGUAAGCCUGUGAAGGUGAGUUGAGAAGCUUGCUGGAGGUAUCAGAAGUGCGAAUGCUGACAUGAGUAACGACAAUGGGUGUGAAAAACACCCACGCCGAAAGACCAAGGUUUCCUGCGCAACGUUAAUCGACGCAGGGUUAGUCGGUCCCUAAGGCGAGGCUGAAAAGCGUAGUCGAUGGAAAACAGGUUAAUAUUCCUGUACUUCUGGUUAUUGCGAUGGAGGGACGGAGAAGGCUAGGCCAGCUUGGCGUUGGUUGUCCAAGUUUAAGGUGGUAGGCUGGAAUCUUAGGUAAAUCCGGGAUUCUAAGGCCGAGAGCUGAUGACGAGUUGCCUUUAGGCGACGAAGUGGUUGAUGCCAUGCUUCCAAGAAAAGCUUCUAAGCUUCAGAUAACCAGGAACCGUACCCCAAACCGACACAGGUGGUUGGGUAGAGAAUACCAAGGCGCUUGAGAGAACUCGGGUGAAGGAACUAGGCAAAAUGGCACCGUAACUUCGGGAGAAGGUGCGCCGGUGAGGGUGAAGCACUUGCUGCGUAAGCCCACGCCGGUCGAAGAUACCAGGCCGCUGCGACUGUUUAUUAAAAACACAGCACUCUGCAAACACGAAAGUGGACGUAUAGGGUGUGACGCCUGCCCGGUGCCGGAAGGUUAAUUGAUGGGGUUAGCUAACGCGAAGCUCUUGAUCGAAGCCCCGGUAAACGGCGGCCGUAACUAUAACGGUCCUAAGGUAGCGAAAUUCCUUGUCGGGUAAGUUCCGACCUGCACGAAUGGCGUAACGAUGGCGGCGCUGUCUCCACCCGAGACUCAGUGAAAUUGAAAUCGCUGUGAAGAUGCAGUGUAUCCGCGGCUAGACGGAAAGACCCCGUGAACCUUUACUAUAGCUUUGCACUGGACUUUGAAUUUGCUUGUGUAGGAUAGGUGGGAGGCUUUGAAGCGUGGACGCCAGUUCGCGUGGAGCCAUCCUUGAAAUACCACCCUGGCAACUUUGAGGUUCUAACUCAGGUCCGUUAUCCGGAUCGAGGACAGUGUAUGGUGGGUAGUUUGACUGGGGCGGUCUCCUCCUAAAGAGUAACGGAGGAGUACGAAGGUGCGCUCAGACCGGUCGGAAAUCGGUCGUAGAGUAUAAAGGCAAAAGCGCGCUUGACUGCGAGACAGACACGUCGAGCAGGUACGAAAGUAGGUCUUAGUGAUCCGGUGGUUCUGUAUGGAAGGGCCAUCGCUCAACGGAUAAAAGGUACUCCGGGGAUAACAGGCUGAUACCGCCCAAGAGUUCAUAUCGACGGCGGUGUUUGGCACCUCGAUGUCGGCUCAUCACAUCCUGGGGCUGAAGCCGGUCCCAAGGGUAUGGCUGUUCGCCAUUUAAAGUGGUACGCGAGCUGGGUUUAGAACGUCGUGAGACAGUUCGGUCCCUAUCUGCCGUGGACGUUUGAGAUUUGAGAGGGGCUGCUCCUAGUACGAGAGGACCGGAGUGGACGAACCUCUGGUGUUCCGGUUGUCACGCCAGUGGCAUUGCCGGGUAGCUAUGUUCGGGAAAGAUAACCGCUGAAAGCAUCUAAGCGGGAAACUUGCCUCAAGAUGAGAUCUCACUGGAACCUUGAGUUCCCUGAAGGGCCGUCGAAGACUACGACGUUGAUAGGUUGGGUGUGUAAGCGCUGUGAGGCGUUGAGCUAACCAAUACUAAUUGCCCGUGAGGCUUGACCAU